This is a long non-coding RNA of Carya illinoinensis, 738 nucleotides long. RefSeq lists it as uncharacterized. Lineage: Eukaryota; Viridiplantae; Streptophyta; Magnoliopsida; Fagales; Juglandaceae. The record is from RefSeq and is a predicted model, not a curated record. The transcript is spliced from 2 exons.
GAACCUGGAAAUUCUUAAUCCCCCAUAUCCUCGUAGAAACCCUCGUAACCAAACAAAACCCUUUCCUCGAGCCAUCCCGCUCAUAUUCGAAGAAAGAAACGGCAACAAGCGGUUAGCAGACUCAGCACCACCACUGCAUAGUGCAUUUCCCCUUCUGAGAAGCAAAGCCGAACCGAAUCGGAUCCAGACCCAGACCAUCCGGUUAUGUUCCUUUUCGCAGUUCCCACCCUUCAAAAACCCAGCUUCCAACUCCACUUCGUUCCCGAUUCUUCCAUGUCCGCCCCGAAUUCCGAUGUCGUAAUCGUCAAAUGCACAACAACAAUCUCAUCCGAUAGCCAGAAGAUGACCCGAAAUUAACGGUGCAUGACAAGAAAAUUCUUUCUCAAGGACUUUGAUGACGGAAGGGCUGCUUGGUGAGGAUAGAAGGCUAGGUGAGGUUUGUUCAAAGAGAUCAUAUCAUACAGGCGUUGAUAUAUGCCCCUUCAUUUUCUUCUUCUGCAAUUUCUCUGCCAUAGUAUGUUUCCUUUCUUUGUCAAAUUCCUUGAUAUUUUGAUCCAUCUGAGCAGCUAGAAUUUGCAGUUAGUGUUUACCAUCACAGUGGCAUUAUGAUCGAUCUGUGUUGUAAGCCUCGUUAGAUAGUGAAAGAAAUGGUAGAAAGAGAACUGUUUGUAUUAUCACAAGAAUCAGAUUACAAAAUUACAAUGAGUUUAAUGACAGCAGGACUUUCCUUUGAGUGAA